RNAcentral lists this ribosomal RNA (282 nucleotides) under uncultured bacterium. RNAcentral describes it as "partial 16S ribosomal RNA". It matches the Rfam family "Bacterial small subunit ribosomal RNA", at positions 335 to 609 of the family's 1533-position model. The record is from RNAcentral.
UUUCCUACGGGGCGCAGCAGUAGGGAAUUUUCGUCAAUGGGCGCAAGCCUGAACGAGCGAUGCCGCGUGAGUGAAGAAGGCCUUCGGGUCGUAAAGCUCUGUUGCGGGGGAAAAAAGGCAGCAUAAGGAAAUGGGUGCUGACUGAUGAUGCCCCGCCAGAAAGUCACGGCUAACUACGUGCCAGUAGCCGCGGUAAUACGAAGGUGGCGAGCGUUAUCCGGAAUGAUUGGGCGUAAAGGGUGCGCAGGCGGGCGUGCAAGUCUGGAGUGAAAAGCAUGAACU